UACGAAGGGGGCUAGCGUUGCUCGGAAUCACUGGGCGUAAAGGGUGCGUAGGCGGUUCUUUAAGUCAGGGGUGAAAUCCUGGAGCUCAACUCCAGAACUGCCUUUGAUACUGAGGAUCUUGAGUUCGGGAGAGGUGAGUGGAACUGCGAGUGUAGAGGUGAAAUUCGUAGAUAUUCGGAGGAACACCAGUGGCGAAGGCGGCUCACUGGCUCGGUACUGACGCUGAGGUGCGAAAGCGUGGGGAGCAAACAGG
This 253-nucleotide ribosomal RNA is filed under the name uncultured bacterium. RNAcentral's name for it is "partial 16S ribosomal RNA". It matches the Rfam family "Bacterial small subunit ribosomal RNA", at positions 524 to 776 of the family's 1533-position model. The record is from RNAcentral.